Dicentrarchus labrax (European seabass) is the source of this 123-nucleotide long non-coding RNA. RefSeq lists it as uncharacterized. The record is from RefSeq and is a predicted model, not a curated record. NCBI's taxonomy places the organism in Eukaryota, Metazoa, Chordata, Actinopteri, Moronidae. The transcript is spliced from 2 exons.
GCAGCGCACAUUAGGUGAGACACUGAGGGUGAGACAGGUAAAGACAGAGACCACAGGUGAGACACUGAGGGUGAGACAGGUAAAGACAGACACCACAGGUGAGACACUGAGGGUGAGACAGGU